GACAGGAAUGCGUGGGAUGGCUGCGCGCAAUGAGCUUCGAUUCAGAAGCCAGACAAAAGCAGCAAUUAUUAUUCAGAGUCAUUGUCGCAAGUUCUUGGCAUAUUCAAAAUUCAAGAAGCUCAAGAAAGCUGCAAUUACCACUCAGUGUGCUUGGAGAGGUAAAAUUGCUCGUAAGGAACUGAAGAAGCUUAAGAUGGCUGCACGGGAGACUGGGGCUCUGCAAGCUGCAAAGAAUAAAUUAGAGAAGCAAGUUGAAGAAUUAACUUGGAGAUUGCAGCUGGAGAAACGCAUGAGGGCGGAUGUUGAAGAAGCAAAAACACAAGAAAAUGCAAAACUACAAUCUGCUUUGCAGGAUAUCCAAGUUCAGUUCAAGGAAACCAAGGAAAUGCUUGUCAAAGAACGUGAAAAUGCAAUAAGGGCAGCCGAGCAGAUCCCUAUUGUACAGGAAGUCCCCGUUAUUGACCAUGAAUUGAUGAACAAACUUAGCAUUGAAAAUGAGAACUUAAAGACUAUGGUAAGCUCUCUAGAAAAGAAGAUUGGUGAAACAGAAAAAAAAUAUGAAGAGACAAAUAAACUUAGUGAGGAGAGGUUGAAGCAAGCGAUGGAGGCAGAGUCCAAGAUUAUUCAGUUGAAGACUUCUAUGCAAAGGCUUGAGGAGAAAAUUGUUGACAUGGAAUCUGAGAACAAGAUUCUUCGACAGCAGGGCCUGUUAACCCCUGCCAAGCGGGUUUCAGAUCAUUCACCUAGCCUGGCCUCCAAAAUUGUUGAAAAUGGACACCAUCUUGAUGAUGAAAACUAUACUAAUGAUGCACUAAGUUCCUCAACACCUUCUAGAAAUUUUGAAACCCCCGACAGCAAGAUGAGGAGACCUCCUGUUGAUCGACAGCAGCACGAGGAUGUUGAUGCACUCAUUGACUGUGUGAUGAAGGAUGUGGGGUUCAGCCAAGGAAAGCCUGUUGCAGCUUUUACCAUCUACAAAUGCCUUCUCCAUUGGAAAUCUUUUGAAGCUGAGAGGACCAGUGUGUUCGAUCGUUUGAUUCAGAUGAUUGGUUCAGCUAUUGAGAAUCAAGAAAGCAACGAUCACAUGGCGUAUUGGCUGUCGAAUACCUCAACUUUGUUGUUCUUAAUCCAAAAAAGUCUGAAACCAGGUGGUUCAGUUGGUGCAACUCCUACCCGCAAACCACAACCUCCGACAUCUCUAUUUGGGAGAAUGACAAUGGGCUUUCGUUCGUCGCCUUCUGCUGUCAACCUUGCUGCAGCUGCAGCUGCAUUGGUCGUGCGUCAAGUUGAAGCAAAAUACCCUGCUCUGCUUUUCAAGCAGCAGCUUACAGCAUAUGUUGAAAAGAUAUAUGGAAUUAUUAGAGAUAACUUGAAGAAGGAGUUGGGAUCACUCAUUUCCUUAUGCAUCCAGGCACCAAGGACUGCCAAAGGUAGUCUGAGAACUGGACGAUCCUUUGGCAAAGACUCUUCAACAAAUCAUUGGCAGCGGAUUAUUGAAUGCCUCAACUCUCUUCUCUGUACAUUGAAAGAAAAUUUUGUGCCUCCAAUUCUUGUUCAAAAGAUAUUUACUCAGACAUUCUCUUACAUUAAUGUACAACUGUUUAACAGUCUUCUUCUCCGAAGAGAGUGUUGUACAUUUAGUAAUGGGGAAUAUGUUAAAGCUGGGUUGGCUGAGUUAGAGCUAUGGUGCUGCCAAGCAAAAGAAGAGUAUGCAGGUUCCUCUUGGGAUGAACUCAAACAUAUUAGACAAGCUGUUGGGUUCUUGGUUAUUCAUCAGAAGUAUAGAAUAUCUUAUGAUGAGAUCACCAAUGACUUGUGUCCUAUUCUUAGUGUCCAGCAACUUUACAGAAUUUGUACGCUCUAUUGGGAUGACAACUAUAAUACACGAAGUGUUUCCCCAGAUGUCAUAUCAAGCAUGAGAGUGUUAAUGACAGAGGACUCAAACAAUGCCGAGAGCAACUCUUUUCUACUGGAUGAUAAUUCAAGCAUCCCGUUCUCUAUUGAUGAAGUCUCAGAAUCACUUCAAGUAAAGGAUUUUGCAGAUGUCAAACCUGCAACAGAACUUAUCGAGCAUCCAGCCUUCCCAUUUUUACACGAGUGAGGCCUAGGAACCUCGAGGGUUUCUUGCAUUAUAGUUACAGAUUUGUUGAAAAUAUCCUAGGUGGAUAUAUUCAAUUUGUUGUAUAUUCAUUCUUCUUAUUCCCUUUCAAUUUUUUAAUACCAAAUAUAGAUUGCUGUAAAAUAUAUUUUUUUUCCUUUUGUGUUUAUAAUUGUAAUUCCAAUAGCAUAAGGUUCAGAGUCAGCAAGUAGUCAAAUUUUGUAUUUGUUUUGGUGCAAAGAGCAGCAGCAACAACAUUCUUUUAUCAGGAAUAUAUAGGGCAAAGUAAUAGUGAUGGGGUGUAAAAGUUUUGUGUUCUGUCCACAUUUCAUUAUGUAAUGAAACAGAAAUAUUGAACUAAGCUAUUG
RNAcentral lists this unclassified non-coding RNA (2466 nucleotides) under Hevea brasiliensis (rubber tree). Lineage: Eukaryota; Viridiplantae; Streptophyta; Magnoliopsida; Malpighiales; Euphorbiaceae. The record is from RNAcentral.